GAGUCGACAAAUCUACAAUGUAAAUAUUGUUAACUCUUCUUCCCUGCAAAACAAUCUUGUGAGUAGUAAGGCUAAUCACAAAACAUUUUAUGAAAGUGUAAGCCACAAGGUUACCUCUAUCACACAGUUGUGACACACUUAUCAGGCUAUAUUUCAAGCCAUCUAUCAAAUAGACAUUCUAAAUGGAAUGAGAGUCUGUUUUCCCUACCUUUCCAACCCCAAUGAUCUCACCGUUCUUCCCAUUUCCAAAGGAGACAUUACCUCCUUUUAGGUUCUCAAGUGAAAUAAACUUGUCCCAUUUACCAGUCAUAUGUUUUGAGCAGCCACUAUCCAUGUACCAUAUUUGGCUACUUCCUUUCACUUGGACCUGUAAAAUGAAAUCAGGGGUUAGUUUUAGGAACCCAAACAAGUUUGGGUCCCUUUCUAUGGGCAAAAUGAUGAAUUAAAUUUUUCUUUGCCUAACCAGGCAGUUUGUGUUAUUCUUGAACAAAAGCUUUGUUCUUUUGACAUGCCUUUUCUUUUGAAUUGCAUUCAUUUUUGUAAUGGCCAGCCUUACCACAAUGUGUACAUAUCUUAUUCUUAGGAAGAGUGAGGUACUUGUUUUUGGGAUGCCAUUUUGGAGCUUGUAUCCCAAUCCCAAGUCCUCUCUUGUUGUUGCUGUGAUGCUCUUGCAGCCAGGAGAAUGCAUCAGAAGCCUUGUUCCAUUUGUAUGUUCUGUCUAGUUCAUGAUUCACCUUUCCUAGUUCUUCUUUAAGGACCUUGAUCGAGUCAUCUUUGUUAUGCAGCUCAUCUUUCAUUUUUCCUAAAUUUUCUUCUAGUGUGAGAAAUGAUUGAUAAGCCUUUUUCUUUCCUAUCCGUAUUUUCAGUUAUAAGUUUUCAGACCUGAGUUCUAGGACACUGUUUUUCAGUUGAAGAACCUGGUUCUUCAACUCCUUAUUUGAGUUAUUACUCUCAUCAGCCCUAGACUCUAACCUUUUGCAUUUUUCUUCUAGUAUUGUACAAUCCCUAGCCAGAACAUCU
RNAcentral lists this long non-coding RNA (1020 nucleotides) under Nicotiana benthamiana. RNAcentral describes it as "long non-coding RNA (NBEN_LNC015869)". The record is from RNAcentral. Lineage: Eukaryota; Viridiplantae; Streptophyta; Magnoliopsida; Solanales; Solanaceae.